Molecule: long non-coding RNA, 2144 nt
Filed under: Brachypodium distachyon (stiff brome)
Lineage: Eukaryota; Viridiplantae; Streptophyta; Magnoliopsida; Poales; Poaceae
Description: long non-coding RNA (BDIS_LNC000127)
Source: RNAcentral
AAAUUUCUACAGUUUCUCCUCCGUCGUCCUGCUAAUGGCAUUCUUCCUUCUCAGUUGUUCUGUCUUGUCGAUUUGUAGAACUCGGAAAACAAGUGAAGUGAGGAGACCAAACAAGUGAAGCGAGGAGACCUGGAGGAGUUCCGGUGAGCUACAGGUUAGUUCUCUUCCUCUCUUCUUCAGGCACUGUUUCUUUGCAAUAUUCUACACUUCAAUUCAAAACUUUCUCUUCUGUAGCUCUCAUCGUCAUGCUGUUUCUUGGACUGAGUGGUUAAUGUUUGGUUUCUAGCGUUGAUUACGGUUAGUUCUUGCUUCGUUUCUUGGUAGAUUCUCACAGGUAACUGAAAUGGAGUUCGAUCUGCUACUUGGUUUUGGAUAACUACGAUUCCUCUCACUUGGUUUAUCAUGCAAUUUAAUUUAUCACGGCAAGCUGCAGUAGUGAUAAAUAUAUACCCACUUCUGAAGCUGUGCAAUUAGAAAAAUUGUGGAGGACGAGAAUUAGCUUAGGGACAAAUAAAGAUGCUGUUGUACAUGGUUGUAGGGGGAAGUCUCCUAGGUUCAGUGAUGAAUUAUUGAUCAAUACUUUAUUUUGAAAAUUGAUCUUUACAUUAUCUAAAAAUAAUCUUAUUAGAAUUUGCUACAUUCUAGAUUUGAAAUUAUAGACUGAGAUAUUUGACUUUUAGCUUUUAGUAUUAGCAUGUCUUAGGUGUAGCUGAAGGUAUUGCUCAAUUGUAGUCUUUGUUGGGUAUUACAUUACCCAUGAAGUUGGUGUUCAUAUGCCAAAAAAAAUCCCAUUUAAAUUCAGCUCCAUAUAUUUGAUUGAUUCAUUAUUUCUAUCCUUGGUCCUCCAGGUGCUGCCACUAAAUUAGCUUUGUGUGUCUCCUAGGUUCAGCUAUAAGUUUCAGUUUUAGUUCGAAGUGUUAAAUACUUGAAAUUAACUAGAAGGGUUCAGGUUCAGUUUGAAUUUAAGUUUCUCUUUCCUUAUUUGAGUUUUAGGAUUAAGUUUCAGUUUCGUUUUAAUUUUUUCUAAGAAGGGUUGUACACUGUUGGAUGCUCAGUUUGUUUAUACAAGAGAAAGUGAUAUCAAUAGUACAGGGCUGAUGCUUGUGAUUUCUUGUGUUAGCUUCGUUUUCAGCUCAAUAGCUCAGGGAGUGUCUGGUUAUCAACAAAACAAAAAACUGACUGAGACCCAAAAAAUAUUUCAGGUAGCUGAAAAUUAGUCUCUCCCUUUAGCUUUCACUAUUUCCUGGCUACCCAGCAUGAAUAGUACAAGUAUCAGAUUGGCAUGUUCAACAAAUAAUAACCACAGUACGCGAAUUAGUACCUAUUUGCUGUUUCUGUUAGAUACUGUACCAAGUUUUGCUCUGCCAUGGGAUCUAGAUAGUUAGGGGAGAUCAUGUUUCAUUUCAGAUUAUUAGAGCUGAUGUUAUUUUUUUCCAAACAGUAGAAGGACGAAGAGGAGGAGGUGCUGGAGCUUGUCAGCCACCACUACAUCCAUCAAAACUUCCUUCGGGGGUAUUUCUUUCUCUUUUUCUGAACUUUUCUGUGUCAAACCGCAAAAAGGCUGAGAGUGUAUUUCUAUUUCUUGGUGCCCUUAAAAACCUGUCAAAGGUACCACCCUGAUCCAUAUUUUUCUAUUAUGGCUUUGUGUUCAUUGUAGUUUAACACAUGUUAAAAUAUCAUAAAAUGAUGAAUACUGUGCACUCAAUCAACCAAGGACCAGUCAUGCCAAUUGUUUGUUUAAAUAUUCCAGAGUGGCACUCCAUAAAAGAAUGUUGAAAUGGAAAAAUUAUUCCACAUGUUCUGAAAAGUAUAAUAUGAAGACAAAAAUGAUGAAUUUAAAAGUAAGUCGGAUCUUAAAAGUAACAUUGAGGUGGAAAGCACAAUUACAAAUGGUCACAAUGUAAAAUAAAGCUCUGGUUCUCAGUUCUAAAUUAUUCCCUAUUUUCUUUGAGUUAACCUACAAAGUAAUACAACAUUUUGACAGUCAAUUCCUUAUUUUUCUAUGAGUUCAUGUUUUUAAGGCUUAAUUUGCUUGCCUGGUAAUUCUAAACCUAUAGGGUAGUAUUUACUUUAUGUGUGCCAUCGAUUAACUACUUUUAACAUUGGUCACAGGAGAAGAAGCAUAGGCAGGCUGUGAAGGAGGC